AGAUGAUAAAGUUUUUAUUAUUGUGUGGAACAAAAUGAACAUCAGGAAAACUGCCCUCUGCUCCCCCAAGCUUGAAGGCCAGCGUCAGCCCCCACUCCAGCAUUACAAGCUGUACCUGAGCAAACACACCCUGAACAUCUGCAGCAUCCAGUAUGUCCCAGCAGAGACCUUCAGUGAGGGUGAGAUACCAGGGAAGAGGCAAGUGCUGACACGGAGCACCUCCUCGCUCUAACCUUCCAAAAUGCCUGAUUCCAUGCUAGCUGCCAGAGCUGGGUUCUGAAAGGUUUCAGCCACCUCCCUGCUUGUGUGUAGGGAUCUCGUGUGACUUCAGGGGACCUGCUCACGAGCUGUCCUGUUUUUCACACCAGCAACAGUCACAGCCUUCACCUUGAGCAAGCAGAGUGGCAGCUGCUGCAGCCGGAAUGGUCAAAAGCUGGGCACAGGGCACAAACACACCUGGAAGCUGCAAUGUGCUGAUCAUACCAGCAUUAAAGUGAUGGAGAGGGAGGGCCCAGGUUCUAGUUUAAUCCCCUCACAUGGAAAUUGUGUGGGUCUCACUUUCUCCAUGGGGGUGAGUCGCACUGGGUUUGGGUGCAGGAAUUUGACAUCUUUUCAACAGGUACAGCACAUACACAAAACUGUAACACUGCACUCAGUGUCCUCCCCAUCCAUCUCUGGUGUCUCACCCCUUCAAAGGAGGGUAUCCACACUCAAAUUCUAGGCUUUUCAUAUUUCAACACUGUUUACAACUACUAAUCUACUGUAAGGGACAGCAGCAAGGAAAUGGAUCCAGUAACUGCCAUGAGGGGGGAAAAAAGAGCAGAAAAACUACAUGAAGUUUCCCCCUGUUCAUGGUCCAAACUAGCACCAGCCACAAAAUCUCAGCUCUGACAUGCUUUUUAAUGCAGUCCCAGCCGGGCUACUGAACAGAAAAUCCCCUCUGAGGAAUUAAACCACUAACCCCUAAUAACAUUUGUACAAACCCAAAUGCAUUUGUUGUUACAUAAAUACAUCAGUUUUCUAUGGACUACAAAACAUUCUGCGGUCUUCAAGACUGAUGUAGGCUUCCAGUACAAACCCAACACAACUGUGACCUGCUGCGUGUUCGUAAGGAAGCCACCACUGCUUUUUGGAGUAACGUGAAAUUCCAUGAGAUGACAGCAACAAAGAAUGAUGUAGCAUAAACUGUGAAACCUCUUUAAACUGUGUUUCAAACUACCACUUCUAGUAGGUGCAGCGCAUUCCGAUUUCAUCUCGCCGCCUUUUUGAUCUAACAGAAAGAAAGUGAAACGCCAGGUUUAUCAUGGUGACUCUUUCAUGUGUGCAAGGGGGAAAGGUGGAGUGAAGUGGCCCUAAAUCACCUUCUGUGUCUAAAUACUUGGGACUCCAAUUCCUCUGUUACCACACCGAGGUGGGAGGUACAGUUACACCCUUGUGUAGUCACGAAGUCACAGUGAGGGUCUCUGAAAGGGAGGUCAGAGAUGCCGUAAGGCGCUUACAUGCCGGAUCAGUGCAGGUCAUCAGUUCUCAUAUUGUGCAUCCACCAAAACCACCAACACCCCCACCCCUUACCAUACAGAAGGGGAAUUUUCACAGCUUUGAUUGGUUUUGGUACAGAUUUGCAUACCAAACCCAUGGCCAGAGGCCUGAGCCAAAGAAAUGAAGCUAGGAAGGGGCUGCUGGCAUCUCACCCACCUCCUGAUGCCUGGCACUGAUGCAGCAGGUAGAGCCAGAUUGUCAAGGGCAAGCAGGAAAGGGGAGACGGGAUUUCAAGUGCAACCAGACACGAGGAUUAAAAAGCUCCUGUUCUGCUUUCAGUGAGCCUCUGCUUCACAGCAGCAUGCUUUCACACCACACGCUUCAGGAUGAGAACAUUCUCAACUUGCACACACACAGCUCUUUUUUUGGAGGGGACUCUGUUCUCACUGUGCCCCGAGGCUGCUCAGGCACAUCCUGGACUACUUCACAUGACAUUCCCAAAGCAGUUCUCCCAGCACAAGCUCAGGCCUCAGGGCAGGCACAUUUCUGUACAGGGAAGGCUC
This 2042-nucleotide long non-coding RNA is filed under the name Strigops habroptila (Kakapo). RNAcentral's name for it is "lncRNA (ENSSHBG00005000912.1)". Lineage: Eukaryota; Metazoa; Chordata; Aves; Psittaciformes; Psittacidae. The record is from RNAcentral.